This 301-nucleotide ribosomal RNA is filed under the name uncultured bacterium. RNAcentral describes it as "partial 16S ribosomal RNA". It matches the Rfam family "Bacterial small subunit ribosomal RNA", at positions 509 to 807 of the family's 1533-position model. The record is from RNAcentral.
CAGCAGCCACGGGAAAACGAAGGGGGCUAGCGUUGUUCGGAAUUACUGGGCGUAAAGGGCGCGUAGGCGGCCAUUCAAGUUAGAUGUGAAAGCCCUGGGCUCAACCUAGGAAUUGCACUUGAUACUGUUUGGCUUGAGUUCGGGAGAGGUGAGUGGAAUUCCCAGUGUAGAGGUGAAAUUCGUAGAUAUUCGGAAGAACACCAGUGGCGAAGGCGGCUCACUGGACGCGUAUUGACGCUGAGGUGCGAAAGCGUGGGGAGCAAACAGGAUUAGAUACCCCCGUAGUCCCUGUCUCUUAUAC